This 253-nucleotide ribosomal RNA is filed under the name uncultured bacterium. RNAcentral's name for it is "partial 16S ribosomal RNA". It matches the Rfam family "Bacterial small subunit ribosomal RNA", at positions 524 to 776 of the family's 1533-position model. The record is from RNAcentral.
UACAGAGGGGGCAAGCGUUGUUCGGAAUUACUGGGCGUAAAGGGCGCGUAGGCGGCCUUCUAAGUCGAACGUGAAAUCCCUCGGCUCAACCGGGGAACUGCGUCUGAUACUGGGUGGCUUGAAUCCGGGAGAGGGAUGCGGAAUUCCAGGUGUAGCGGUGAAAUGCGUAGAUAUCUGGAGGAACACCGGUGGCGAAGGCGGCAUCCUGGACCGGCAUUGACGCUGAGGCGCGAAAGCCAGGGGAGCAAACGGG